CAGUAGCCACGGUAAUACGAAGGGGGCUAGCGUUGUUCGGAAUUACUGGGCGUAAAGCGCACGUAGGCGGAUAUUUAAGUCAGGGGUGAAAUCCCAGAGCUCAACUCUGGAACUGCCUUUGAUACUGGGUAUCUUGAGUAUGGAAGAGGUGAGUGGAAUUCCGAGUGUAGAGGUGAAACUCGUAGAUAUUCGGAGGAACACCAGUGGCGAAGGCGGCUCACUGGGCCAAUACUGACGCUCAUGCACGAAAGCGUGGGGAGCAAACAGGAUUAGAUACCCCAGUAGUCCCUGUCUCUUAUAU
This 301-nucleotide ribosomal RNA is filed under the name uncultured bacterium. Its description in RNAcentral is "partial 16S ribosomal RNA". It matches the Rfam family "Bacterial small subunit ribosomal RNA", at positions 509 to 809 of the family's 1533-position model. The record is from RNAcentral.